UACGAGUGCUCCGAGCGUUAUCCGGAAUCAUUGGGCGUAAAGGGUGUGUAGGUGGUUGUGUUAGUCUUUUGUUAAAUUCUUCGGCUUAACCGGGGGCAUGCAAAAGAAACGGCACGACUAGAGGAUGCGAGAGGCACAUGGAACUCAUGGAGUAGGGGUGAAAUCCGUUGAUAUCAUGGGGAACACCGAAAGCGAAGGCAAUGUGCUGGCGCACUCCUGACACUGAGACACGAAAGCGUAGGUAGCGAAUGGG
This 253-nucleotide ribosomal RNA is filed under the name uncultured bacterium. RNAcentral's name for it is "partial 16S ribosomal RNA". It matches the Rfam family "Bacterial small subunit ribosomal RNA", at positions 524 to 776 of the family's 1533-position model. The record is from RNAcentral.